RNAcentral lists this ribosomal RNA (280 nucleotides) under Peronospora schachtii. RNAcentral's name for it is "partial 18S ribosomal RNA". It matches the Rfam family "Eukaryotic small subunit ribosomal RNA", at positions 1555 to 1831 of the family's 1831-position model. The record is from RNAcentral. Lineage: Eukaryota; Oomycota; Peronosporomycetes; Peronosporales; Peronosporaceae.
UGAAUGCGCAUCGUGCUAGGGAUAGACUGUUGCAAUUUUCAGUCUUGAACGAGGAAUUCCUAGUAAACGCAAGUCAUCAGCUUGCAUUGAUUACGUCCCUGCCCUUUGUACACACCGCCCGUCGCACCUACCGAUUGAAUGACACGGUGAAAAAUUGGGACUGUGACCCCGUUUGAAGUAAUUGCGAGCGGAUUAAUGGGAACUUUUUUAAACCUCGCCAUUUAGAGGAAGGUGAAGUCGUAACAAGGUUUCCGUAGGUGAACCUGCGGAAGGAUCAUUA